AAGGUCGGAAGGUUCUUCAGAGCCCCGGGGGAGAAUAGCUAAAGGCAGCUGUUACAAUAUUUCUAUAUAUACUGUUGCUGUUGAGCUGAUAACUGUUUUCCCAUGAUGAAAUCCUAACUUUAAAAUCCCCUAGAACUUGGAAAUCCCCUGCAGGCACAAAUUACUUACUGCACAGUCACUUCACUUUCGUUUACUAGGAUUCCCUCGCGAUCCGCAGCAGAGUUCCUCACACUGCGCACCACCCGCGGGGUCUGUCCCACAGACCUUGGCUGAUGGAUGAAAUGAGUACUCAAAGACACAGAGGGAGGCAUUGCAGAGAGACCCCUUUCAAAGCACACAGGAAGUGGCUGAAGUCAAUAAAGAAACAGAAGAACAAUUUGAAUGAAGAUGGAUCAAAAAGAAGACAGACAUUUCUAAAAAGCCAUCUUUAAAUAUACCAUUUUACAAGCUCCCUAGUAAAUAUCUUGAGACAAAAUUGGAUGACUACACAUUUAGCAUGUUAUCAUGAUGCUUUGAAAAUAUGUAUGUGUACAUAUAUAUGUAAUAUUUAUACACAAAAUGUAUAACAUAAUAUUUCAUAUGAUAAUAAAUAUAAAUGUAAAUAUAAAUUUGACUUAAGAAGGGAGUAUAUGUUGAUAGCGUUGAAGUAAGCUUAGAUGAUCACCUUAAAUGUUGUUACUGUCUUUGUUGCCAUAGAAUAAACACUUAAAGAGAAAUAACAACUUUGUUUUCAGUUUGGAGCAUAUUUUUGGCCCUGGGAUUAUUGAUUAGAGAGAUUAAUAUGUAUUUUCCUUAUUUCAUCUGUAAAAUUUAAGUUAUUUUUAAACAGUUAUUUUAUUUACACAUAAUGUCAGGCUGGCACCUGGAACAAUAAAU
RNAcentral lists this long non-coding RNA (876 nucleotides) under Homo sapiens (human). RNAcentral describes it as "HSALNT0085676". Lineage: Eukaryota; Metazoa; Chordata; Mammalia; Primates; Hominidae. The record is from RNAcentral.